Molecule: transfer RNA, 74 nt
Filed under: Pteropus alecto (black flying fox)
Lineage: Eukaryota; Metazoa; Chordata; Mammalia; Chiroptera; Pteropodidae
Rfam family: tRNA
About the family: Transfer RNA (tRNA) molecules are approximately 80 nucleotides in length. Their secondary structure includes four short double-helical elements and three loops (D, anti-codon, and T loops). Further hydrogen bonds mediate the characteristic L-shaped molecular structure. tRNAs have two regions of fundamental functional importance: the anti-codon, which is responsible for specific mRNA codon recognition, and the 3' end, to which the tRNAs corresponding amino acid is attached (by aminoacyl-tRNA synthetases). tRNAs cope with the degeneracy of the genetic code in two manners: having more than one tRNA (with a specific anti-codon) for a particular amino acid; and 'wobble' base-pairing, i.e. permitting non-standard base-pairing at the 3rd anti-codon position.
Source: Rfam by way of RNAcentral
GGCUCCAUAGGGUAGUGGUUAGCACAUCUGCUUUACACGCAGAAGGUCCUGGGUUUGCACCCCAAGUGGAGCCA